This 1350-nucleotide ribosomal RNA is filed under the name metagenome. RNAcentral's name for it is "bacterial LSU rRNA". It matches the Rfam family "Bacterial large subunit ribosomal RNA", at positions 1564 to 2925 of the family's 2925-position model. The record is from RNAcentral.
UGAGUACGAGCGGCUACGGCCGCGAAGUGGAUGAUGUCAAGCUUCCAAGAAAAGCCCUAUACCCGUUAAGGCAUGAUGGCCUGUACCCGAAACCGACACAGGUGGGGUGGUAGAGAAUACCGAGGGGCGCGAGGUAACUCUCUCUAAGGAACUCGGCAAAAUGGCCCCGUAACUUCGGGAGAAGGGGUGCCACCGCGAGGUGGUCGCAGUGAAGAGGCCCAGGCGACUGUUUACCAAAAACACAGGUCUCCGCUAAGUCGCAAGACGAUGUAUGGGGGCUGACGCCUGCCCAGUGCCGGAAGGUUAAGGAAGCUGGUCAGCGCAAGCGAAGCUGGCGACUGAAGCCCCGGUGAACGGCGGCCGUAACUAUAACGGUCCUAAGGUAGCGAAAUUCCUUGUCGGGUAAGUUCCGACCCGCACGAAAGGCGUAACGAUCUGGGCGCUGUCUCGGAGAGAGGCUGGGCGAAAUAGAAUUGUCUGUGAAGAUGCGGACUACGUGCACCCGGACAGAAAGACCCUAUGAAGCUUUACUGUAGCUUGGUAUUGUGCUCGGGCUCGGAAUGCGCAGGAUAGGUGGGAGGCUUUGAUCCAUUGCUUGCGGGUGAUGGUGAGCCACUGGUGAGAUACCACUCUUUCCGAGCUAGAGUUCUAACAGCAACCCGUUAUCCGGGUGCUGGACAGUAUCAGGUGGGCAUUUUGACUGGGGCGGUCGCCUCCUAAAAGGUAACGGAGGCGCGCAAAGGUCUGCUUAGGCUGGUUGGAAAUCAGCCGACGAGUGUAAAAGCAGAAGCAGGCUUGACUGUGAGACCUACAAGUCGAACAGGGAGGAAACUCGGCUUUAGUGAUCCGACGGUUCUGCGUGGAAGGGCCGUCGCUCAACGGAUAAAAGUUACUCUAAGGAUAACAGGCUGAUCUCCCCCAAGAGUUCACAUCGACGGGGAGGUUUGGCACCUCGAUGUCGGCUCAUCGCAACCUGGGGCUGAAGUCGGUCCCAAGGGUUGGGCUGUUCGCCCAUUAAAGCGGUACGCGAGCUGGGUUCAGAACGUCGUGAGACAGUUCGGUCCAUAUCCGGUGCACGCGCAGGAAUAUUGAGAGGAUUUCUCCCUAGUACGAGAGGACCGGGAGGAACGCACCUCUGGUGUGCCAGUUAUCGUGCCAACGGUAAACGCUGGGUAGCCAUGUGCGGAGUGGAUAACCGCUGAAAGCAUCUAAGUGGGAAGCCCACCUCAAGAUGAGUAUUCCCAUGGCAUAAGCCAGUAAGGUCACGGGAAGAACACCCGUUGAUAGGCUCUACGUGGAAGCGCAGUAAUGUGUGAAGCGGAGGAGUACUAAUAGACCGAGGGCUUGACC